This is a non-coding RNA of Odocoileus virginianus texanus, 2658 nucleotides long. The record is from RefSeq and is a predicted model, not a curated record. Lineage: Eukaryota; Metazoa; Chordata; Mammalia; Artiodactyla; Cervidae.
UUGACCAACUGAGUGGUGGCCAAACUUUUGAAGAAAUUAUUCAGUCUUUAAAACCAUAACAUGGAAAUAUUCCUGAUCAGGAUAUAGAUAUCAUCUCUUAGCCAGCCUAGCCUUCACAAAGCAUCAGUUUACAGACAAGCUGGGAGAAAGAUUCAUGAGGAAUAAACAGAAUACUGUACAGAAAAUGGUAGUUAUGGGACGAGACAGUCCAGCUCUCCUGGGCCUCUGAAGUGCCUACACAUCUUGCUGAGUGUGCCAAGACUGCAAGGCCUAAUUAGGGCUUUGCCUGAGCCACUUCUCAGCAUUUAUAUCACUAGUAAGCUUGGGGACGAGAAGCAGGUUUGCUGUAAAAGUGUUGGAUUCCUUGCACUCUUUUGGUCAGCUGUGACACAGACCGCUGCAUGCUUGGCAUUCAUCCAGGCCUGCGGUGUUGCCUGUGGGAACUGACAUAAAUAUGCUGACACUCCCUCUGCGUGCUGCACACCCUGAGUGACAGAGGCCUUUGCCUGUGAUCAAGGAUCCUGUGUCUUCUGUCAGCAUUCACAAAACUGACAGGCUAACUUACUGGGUAAAAUCAAACCUCAGACCUGAUUGUUUCAGCAGCAAGGAUUGGAAUGCUGACAGAGACACACUUUUCUGGAAGGUGAACCAUCAGGCCAGGUUGGGAAUAUUCGAUUCCCUGGAAUCAGUCUGGUAGUCAAUGCUGUCACUCUAGAUAGAUUAAAGAUGGGGGGAGGAUAAGUGUUCCUAGCUUUUACUGAACAGGAGUUGAGUUAAUGUUUACAGGCUGAAUGGUAGAAAUAGGGUUGAAACAAGCUGUCCGAAUGUGCCUUGAUUGUUGCUGACUCUGGCAUGCAGACAGGAAGGAAUGUUUUCAUGACAAAGGGCCAGCAGUUCCUGUGAGGGACAGAAGGUGCCGAGGACUACAGAGUGGGGCACGUGAAGAAGAAAGGAGCCCCUAGACUGUAGUUUGCUCUGAUACUGGCAGGCAUCAGCACUGCCAUGGGAGACAGAGUUGUGCAGAUCUUCAGGCACUGGCAGGGAGCAAGGGGUGGGGGAGGGGGAAAGACCGAAACAAUUCCGUUUCCCCCCCAGCAGCCCACCUCCCCCACCCCUGGCUUCCUUACCCUCUCAGCUAAGGAACAAGGUGAUGUGGCAUCCGUUUGCCACCUUUUGUUACGUAGCUCCUGACUCAUGCAGUUUAGACUCUUCAGCUCGGAAAAGGGCAUUUCUCCUUAGUGCAGAAGGGAGGCUUCCCUUGUGGUGGAGCUCUUUGGCUGAUUGAGCGUCACACUGCUCCCAGCUCCUAAGGUCUAAUGGAAUUGACGUGUUAUGUGCCCACAGGUCCCUGUCUAAGUGUCAGCGGGGCUGUUCUUAUUUAGGGACUGCUGCAUGCCUCAAGGUGAGAGUGGGGCCUGAGUCCCUCCCCAUUCUGCUUUGUCUCUCUCCUCUCUGGUGGUCCAGCUGUUUCGGUGCAAUACAGAAGUCCAACAAGAGAAAGGGAAAUCACUGCUUUUGUUAAAGACUUGGUAGCAGCCCACGUACUCAAGCCAUUUCCCAGCAUAACAUUGCAGCCUGCCUGACCCAGCCACCCAGCACUCCAGUUGGCUCCUAGCCUCUUCCUGAAACUGAACGCCUGACCCCUGGAGGCCUGGGAGUCACUGAUGUGACGUCUCUACUCUGGGGUGGGUUGCCUGGCAACCAACAGGGACCCAACAGGCCUUGCAAGUCAAACAAAUGCUUCCAUUGCCCCAUUCUGGACACCUUGGGUUGACUUUACAGAUGUGCUACCCAUCACAGAAUUUGGGACCACUCCUGACAGAUUUUCAAAUCAUGGACUGUCUUCUCAAAAGAUGAAUUUCUAUCAUUGAGAACAAAGUAAUCUACUCAUUUCAUAGACUGACCCUAAAAGAUUUCCCCACCAACUUAUCUUCUUACAAUGUGUGUAUUUUUAUAAGCUACCUCAACACCGAUGUGGAACCAGGUGAAAAGCAAAUGAAUUGGUGAGUAAAUCUCGUUGGAAGGGCGGUCAGCAGUUCGUGGGAGCAACUGCAUAGAAUCUGACUUUCUAACUCAUUGAACCACAGUGAGAUUUCCUCUGGGUUUUCCUAAGAGGAGCAAAUGCUUAUUGUCAGUGAGUUCACUGCCUCCAGGAAGCAAGUGUUGGCCCAACUGGUAACAGAACAGAUUCAAUUACAACAUAGUCAGGAGACGUUGAAAUAGAAGUAAAAUAAAUUUUACAGAGAAAGUUACAUUUCUUGCACACAAUUUGUGAACUAAAUGUGGAACUCACUCUCCGCAACAAAAUGAGUUUGUUGUGCCUGACAGAGGACAGUUGGGUUAACUGUCUUGGGAGACUCGGGAGCAGGCCUCUCAGAGGCAAGUUUGCUGGCCCAACGGAGUAGCCAAAGGUCCCCAAAUUCUCUAGCUUGUUAAAAGUGUGUGGAUUCCCCCUCAUAUGUAAGUUGACUUCAAAAUUCAUCCAAGAGAACGUCUCACAAAUAAUUUCUAUCUUCUUAUUCCAUAGGAAGAUUUUUCCACACAAAAAAGAAUGAACUUAAUAAUGAGAUGAAAAUAUAUUUCAGAGGUGAAUGACAACGGAUGCUAAAGAGGUUUACUUACAAAUAAUCCCAGGAGAAUGUAAUUCGCAGGCACCUG